Anopheles funestus (African malaria mosquito) is the source of this 1010-nucleotide long non-coding RNA. RefSeq lists it as uncharacterized. The record is from RefSeq and is a predicted model, not a curated record. The transcript is spliced from 5 exons. Lineage: Eukaryota; Metazoa; Arthropoda; Insecta; Diptera; Culicidae.
GGGGUUCAUACAGGUGUAGAAGGGUGUAACAUGGCGUCACAGGGGAGUGGGCGGGGCUACUGGGGUUCAUACAGGUGUAGAAGGGUGUAACAUGGCGUCACAGGGGAGUGGGCGGGGCUACAGGGCUUCAUACAGGUGUAGAAGGGUGUAACAUGGCGUCACUGGGGAGUGGGCGGGGCUAUGGGGCUUCAUACAGGUGUAGAAGGGUGUAACAUGGCGUCACAGGGGAGUGGGCGGGGCUACUGGGGUUCAUACAGGUGUAGAAGGGUGUAACAUGGCGUCACUGGGGAGUGGGCGGGGCUACAGGGCUUCAUACAGGUGUAGAAGGGUGUAACAUGGCGUCACAGGGGAGUGGGCGGGGCUACUGGGGUUCAUACAGGUGUAGAAGGGUGUAACAUGGCGUCACUGGGGAGUGGGCGGGGCUAUGGGGCUUCAUACAGGUGUAGAAGGGUGUAACAUGGCGUCACAGGGGAGUGGGCGGGGCUACAGGGGUUCAUACAGGUGUAGAAGGGUGUAACAUGGCGUCACAGGGGAGUGGGCGGGGCUAUGGGGCUUCAUACAGGUGUAGAAGGGUGUAACAUGGCGUCACUGGGGAGUGGGCGGGGCUAUGGGGCUUCAUACAGGUGUAGAAGGGUGUAACAUGGCGUCACAGGGGAGUGGGCGGGGCUACUGGGCUUCAUACAGGUGUAGAAGGGUGUAACAUGGCGUCACAGGGGAGUGGGCGGGGCUACUGGGGUUCAUACAGGUGUAGAAGGGUGUAACAUGGCGUCACUGGGGAGUGGGCGGGGCUAUGGGGCUUCAUACAGGUGUAGAAGGGUGUAACAUGGCGUCACAGGGGAGUGGGCGGGGCUACAGGGGUUCAUACAGGUGUAGAAGGGUGUAACAUGGCGUCACAGGGGAGUGGGCGGGGCUAUGGGGCUUCAUACAGGUGUAGAAGGGUGUAACAUGGCGUCACUGGGGAGUGGGCGGGGCUAUGGGGCUUCAUACAGGUGUAGAAGGGUGUAACAUGG